CCCCUGGCCACGACGCCGGGCACUUUUCUCGCGAGCCUGGGGCGCCCGCAGAGUCUCACCCGGGGUGCCCAGAGUUCCGGAGGGCGCGGGGGAGCCCGAAGGGGCGGGCAUGGCCCGCACGCCUCGGGCCCGGGGCGCGAGGAGAGGGAACCCGCCGCGGGCCCCCAGCCGGGGAAGCGGCCCAGAUCGACGGCCCCGCGUGCCGAGGGCUCGUCCCCAAGGCGGCCGCCAGAGGGCGCGGCGGGGCCCGGGGAGCGCUGGCCCGCCGAGCGAGCGUCGCCUCUUUCCCGCCCUCCGGGGGAGGAAAUGUGGGGGCCCGGCUGGGGCUCCGCGGCUGGGGCUCGGCGGCCGGCCCUGAGCGCUCCGCCUCGCGCUGCUCUGAGCUCCAGCACGUGGGCGGCUGCGGGGAGCGGUCGGGCGCGUGCACUGUGCGGAGCUGCGAUCCGGGAGCUGGGGGGGGCGUGUCCGAGGGGCGCCCCCGGAAGGGACGUGGGGCCGGGAUCCCGACGGGGACACAGCUGCUGGCUGCUGUCCCAAUCCGGGAACGUGCAGCGCACACCCGGGAGCGGUGCCCACUGCGGAGAGCCGCCGCACCUGCCCGGGCCGCCACGUCCCCCUGGCUCCGUUUGAUGCAAAUUUUUUAUGACAACGUCAACAUGUCAAGCACCAACAGGCUACAAAAUAGAGAUCUCCCUUGAACUUAUGUACCUCCUUCUGCUGUUUUGCCAUAUGGAGACUGCAUCUGCAGAAUAAUGUUUUGUUCUGACCACUGAUCAACCAGACAACUGAACACUCACUCAUGGACCAUAGAAAAGGGCUGGUCCCUACAUCACAUGGGGAGUGAAUAAGAUAUUAGACAUUAAGAGAAGUUCGGUAUGACUUCUGCUUUCAAAUACCUGAAAAUUGGCCACUAUUCUUCAUGCUGGACAAACUAAACUAAUGAGAAGAAAAUAUGCCAGUUCUUUGACAGAAUUUUCUGUAUUUUUCCGUUGACAUAAAUAAUUAGUAUUAUUUUGCAGUCUCUGCUUGCAACAGUGCUUUAUGUGGGAAAGAGAGCCCUCUUCAUCAGAAUGUCCAUUCACAUACAGAGCCCACAUCUGCUAGAAGAAUCUGGUCCACAGAAGCACCUUAUCAACUGAGAAGAUGUUGGGAUGACAUUUGAGAUCCCUUCCAAGCCCAGGAUCACUGAAUCUUCUAAUUCUGUGCUUGGAAUACCAUGUCCAGCAGGCUGCAGAAGGAACUUGGCUUUGCUUGAAAAUGUAUAGUGUUCUUCAAAGUUGAAGAUGCAUGAGUUCAGAAGGCUAUUACAUCUAUCUUACGUUAUAGAAAGGCUGAUGAAUUUGCUCCUGAAAGAGUUUCAAGGCCCAGUUCCAACAGGCUGAGAAGCCAAGUUAGGAAACCAGGUAUUGCUUUCAAAUCAGUCCUAUUGAAGGAGAUGGUUGGAACAGGUGGGAGUAGAGAUGGAGGUUAAGAUAGUGAUUGAUAUGCAGGUAAAUUUUUGAUGUAGGCUAUGGGAGGGGGAUGUCCUGAUUUGCUAAGUUUGCCAAUUUCACUGAUACGAAUAUUCCCACUAUGACCAACUUGGUCAACCAUUGUGACAUUAUUGGGUACAUAUUCCAAAGAGAUGCACCCUGUUAACUCUUACAAGACAGUUUGAGCUUGCUCCAGUAAAUCCCUGGGUUAAGAUAUCCAAGAAUCUUGUUUUGCCUUUGUAACAAAUAAAAUAUUAUUCAGUAACCAAGCCAGUACAAAAAUAGCAGUAGCCAUAAGCAGGCAUUUCACAACAGAAGAAACCAGAAUAUCCAAUAAGAUAUACUCAGGUCCAUGUGUGGCAAAAUUAAGAAUUGGACAGUACCAACUAUUAACAAGGAUAGAUGGAGAGAAUUGAAUUUGCUGCUGCUGGGAAGAUAAAUUAGUCCGUCCACUUUGGAGAGCAAUUUGGCAAUAUCCAAAGUUUAAAAAUAUACCUACCCAACAACCCAGCAAUUCCAUUCAUAAAGAGAAUAUUCUAAAAGCUCUUGACUCAUGCACUAGAAGACACAUAUAAGAAUGUUAAUUAGAACACUGUUUCAAUAGUAAAAAAACAAGAAACAAUCUAAUUGUCUCUUGGAGGAAGGAUGAAAAACGGUGCUUUAUUUGUGCAAUAGAAUACUAUACAGAGGUUAAAAUGAAUGAACUAGGUCUAAGUGAAUCAACGUAGAUUUAACAGCCAAUAUUGUGCAAAUGAGCAAUUUGCAAAG
This is a long non-coding RNA of Heterocephalus glaber (naked mole-rat), 2240 nucleotides long. The record is from Ensembl. Lineage: Eukaryota; Metazoa; Chordata; Mammalia; Rodentia; Bathyergidae.